ACUCCUACGGGAGGCAGCAGUGGGGAAUAUUGCACAAUGGGGAAACCCUGAUGCAGCCAUGCCGCGUGUGUGAAGAAGGCCUUCGGUUGUAAAGCACUUUCAGUAGGGAGGAAGGUAGUGUAGUUAACACCUGCAUUAUUUGACGUUACCUACAGAAGAAGCACCGGCUAACUCCGUGCCAGCAGCCGCGGUAAUACGGAGGGGUGCGAGCGUUAAUCGGAAUUACUGGGCGUAAAGCGCAUGCAGGCGGCCUGUUAAGUCAGAUGUGAAAGCCCGGGGGCUUAACCUCGGAAUUGCAUUUGAAACUGGCAGGCUAGAGUCUGUAGAGGGGGUAGAAUUUCAGGUGUAGCGGUGAAAUGCGUAGAGAUCUGAAGGAAUACCAGUGGCGAAGGCGGCCCCCUGGACAAAGACUGACGCUCAGAUGCGAAAGCGUGGGGAGCGAAACAGGAUUAGAUACCCGUGGUAGCGACUGA
Molecule: ribosomal RNA, 473 nt
Filed under: uncultured bacterium
Lineage: Bacteria
Description: bacterial SSU rRNA
Rfam family: Bacterial small subunit ribosomal RNA
Source: RNAcentral